CAUAGAUGUGCUGAGAAGAUCUCACAUUGAUAUUUGGUUUUCUUUAUUGUAGCUGACAAGGAGGCAACAGCAUGGCGAUGGCAGGAACUCGGCAGACGGCAUUCCUUGGCAGCCCGUGGGGACUCUCACACCCCGGACGUUCGAGAGCUAACUCAAAGGCUACGAUCCGCAGAGGGGGGAUGGAAGCGGGGUGCCGGGCUGGGACUCGUGACCAGGAAGUUUUGAGUCUGCUUUGGACGUAGCGAGGUUCAAGAAGUGGCCCUUUAGGCCACCUCAAGGGAAAGCCUCACUUUGGCUCCCAAUGCUGAGGUGCACAGGGCAGAGCGGUCCGGGGAUGUGUCGGGUCACUUGUCUGUCGUGCCUUUUGUGCACCUCGUGUCGUAUGUGUCUUGCCUCAGCCCUUCCAGGAGGUUACAGGAAACCCUGGCGUCACUCUGAACAUCUCUGAUCUCUUGGUUCCUCGGCCUGGCGCUGACACUGUCAGAGCUGUGCCUCGGGACCUCUCAGAGGCCUUGGAAUCCCAUCUCUGUUUUUAAGCGUCCGAUCGGGUGUCUUUUGAGGUCUUGUUCUGAGCUGUGUCCACAGCCGUGCGCCGCAAGGAUCCAUUGUAGCGGGCUAGGACUUGUCCGAAUGCAAGGACAGACAGAGAAUUGUGGCCGUAGGAUUCUCGGGCAUCCGUAUUUGCGCUUCUCGGGAUAAGUCAUCGUGUCAGCAUCUUCUUUCUUCAGGGUUGUCUCGGCCUUAUCAGCUCGCCAUCAUUCUCACCUGGGCCAUCUUGUUCCGCAUUCUCUGGGUCCUUGCGGCCAUUCUUCUGGCCCGGAGUUUUGUCUCCCUGUUGUGUCCCCUUGUCUGUUGUCUUGUGUGUCACGGGUGUCUGGGUGUAUUUGGGUCGGAGCUGCUCUGCCCUGCUGCAGAGGCUGGCCUAUGGUCAGCUGCCAUGGGAGAGGCUUCAUAUUAAACCAACUGCUGAAUGAUUUAAUUAGUCUGGUACCUACGGCUUCUGAUCAUUUGCUUUGUACAAAUGCAUUUCAACAGUUUGCUGUGCUGUAAGCAUCUCAUAGCUGCUACUCUUGAGAACCUUGUUUUAGAAAUUAGUUAAAAGGCAUCUUUCCAGUUUAAAGCCUAGGCUCUGUCCAAGCCUUGACUUUACCUGGAUAGAGAAUUUACCAAUAAACCCAGAAGUUUUCUGCAUCGAAACAAUAUUCAGGUCAAUCUGACUUGGCAAUUAGUGAAUUAAUAUAGCAGCUGGAUUUUACAGUGGGCUUGGAAAAUUGUUAUCCGGACAUGAUUUUCCAAUCUUCCAUUGAUUUAUCAGCUGUGGCAAACUCUGGGAUGAGAGUAUAUAUUUAGAAUAUUCAGUAAUUCAUAUUACAGAUAAUUUAGAUAAGUUUAAUAUAGCAUAGUAUCAAUUAUGCAUCUUUUUAAAAAGUUUUUGAUUUCUGUAAAAAUGUUAUUUCCUAUAUGUAUACAUAUGCAUGUGUUUUACUUUGAUGGUUUUUCAUUGUCAGUACAAGACAGUGGGAGGAAACAGAGGUUGCAGUUCAGAAGCAUGGAAACACGAUGUUCAAAACAGAAGUAACUUCCUAGCGAAGAACAUGGAAACUCAUCAGCUGCAGAGACAAGCAGACAGCCCAAAGAGCAGAAGAGCGAGCACGCAGAUGUGAACCGUAUCGAGACCACAGUUGACAGCUGAACAACUUUGAUCCAACAUGCGAGAGCAAUGGACUUUGGGUUUCAUGUGAAAGAGUGGGAAAAUUGAUAUUGUAAAACCUCACUUGUUAAAUAAAGCAUGGUGUGAACUGUUCAAGA
Molecule: non-coding RNA, 1809 nt
Organism: Cyanistes caeruleus (blue tit)
Lineage: Eukaryota; Metazoa; Chordata; Aves; Passeriformes; Paridae
Source: RefSeq, a predicted model, not a curated record